This 64-nucleotide microRNA precursor is filed under the name Columba livia (rock pigeon). RNAcentral describes it as "Cli-Mir-146-P4_pre stem-loop". Lineage: Eukaryota; Metazoa; Chordata; Aves; Columbiformes; Columbidae. The record is from RNAcentral.
UGAGAACUGAAUUCCAUGGGUUGUAAUUGAAUUCGCUGUCAGACCCAUGGGGCUCAGUUCUUCA